Molecule: long non-coding RNA, 7220 nt
Organism: Sapajus apella (tufted capuchin)
Lineage: Eukaryota; Metazoa; Chordata; Mammalia; Primates; Cebidae
Exons: 2
Source: RefSeq, a predicted model, not a curated record
UUUUUGUUACCAGUGAAUGUGAUGGUCCACAUUCACUUCUUUAUUACAUCAUAGAAUAAAAAAACACUAAGAUUGAUCGUGAUGACAGAAGCUUUCAUUUUCUUCAUCUGAAAAAUGAAGAACUUGAAAUAGUUGAUGGAUAAGUCUUUGCUCAGCUAAGUUCCAUUGAAUUAUUUCUAAGCUCCAUUUUGGCUUUAAAAAGUGUAACUGAACAUUUCUUAAAUAAUAUUUUGAUCCAGUAAGCAAUACGGGAGACAACUGUAGUUUUACUUUAUGAAAAUAUUUUGUAAGUUACCCCUGAAACUUGUUUCCUUUUCUCUUCUCCACUCAAUGGGAGAGAGCAAACAGUAGUUGUAAUGAUAGCUUCCUUCCUUUUUCUGUUUCUUCUCCUAAAACUCAAGACACAGCACACUUUUCUAAUCCUGAAUUGGUAAGAAGGCAAGGAAGGGGAGUUGUGAGCAAUAGAAAUAACCGGAGAGAAUGUUUCUGAUGCUCUCUAUGUCUCUAUUUACUCCUUCUUUCAUGCAUUUUACAGAUAUUAACUGAAUACCUAUUUACUGAACACCUCUGUUCCAGCUCUGACUGAUUUCUGUAAAUAUACGAAUUUUCCUAGCAAAUUCAGUCACUGCCCUCUUAGAGCUUGUAAACUGAUAAAGAAGAUAAACAUUAGUCAGUGUAAGUUUGAUAAUUAUUACAAAGGAGUUGUACAGUAUAUUUUAAAGACAUGUUACUAGAUCCAUGAAAAAAAAUUACAGAAUCAGGACCUAGCAACAAAUCAGCACAAUUUUUAAGCAAGCAAUAGAAAUAAUGUGCUUGUCCCAUGAAGCCCUAGCAAUGAUUAGCAUCUGCCACCUAAGCAAGAUGCCUGUUGCCAACAAGAAGUCCUGUGUGUCAGGGUGUCUCCAGCUACAAUAAAGAACCAUCCCACACACACUCAGCUGGCCCAAAUAAUAAGGAAAAUGUAUUUGUCACAUAAUAAAAAUCCCAAAGUCUAGUUUUCCCAGCACUGUGGCAGUAUCAAGUUUCCGAGCUCAUUGUUUUUGCCUUUCAAUUCUCAGGGUGCCAGCAAUGUCCAAACGGUGGCAUCUGUUAAUAAUCAUUAGUUAAGAGCCAUGAUUCCAAGUGUCACCCACUUUCAGACACAACAAAAUGCAGACAAAAUUUUUGUGUAUCUCUUAUAGAAUUAAGUUACUUCUCUAGCAAAAUUUGUUUCAUAUUUUAUUGACCAGAAUUGGGUCUCACAUCUCUCAGAAAAAUUUUCUAGGAAGAAGAAUGAUAUUACUAUGAGUGGCAUAAUCAGGAAUUACCCCCAAGUCUCAGGAAGACACUCCUUGAUGAAGUGGACACCCAAACAGACUUUUACUCUGACAGCAAGAAGAAAAGAGCCAGUGCUUUUUAAUUCUGUAUAUCAAAUAGCAAGACAUCAACUUUCACUCAAAUUUGUGGAGGAUAGGUGGUGAUUGCCUUCUCAACAACUGUUGGAAGGGAGCUAUUUUGGAGGUAAUGCCAGGCAAGGCAAAAGACACUUUAAGGAUGCUUUUAACUAUCUCUUCAAAAUAAGAGUAUACAUUUGGAAAACUGAGGCAAGUCUGAUUUGUAUCAGUAAGGUUUUGAACGUGGUUAUCAUGGUCACUGCCAAAGGACAUUUUAUUGUUUCUGCAAGAGAAUCUGCAGCUAUAUUCUAGGAAAAAAAUCAAAAAAAGAACAGCAAAAACCUUUUGCCUAUAUACUGUCUCACAUUUGUCUUUUUAGCUGCUAAUCUUCAGUGUAGUAAUCACCAACAUUCUUUAAUACAAUAGAUAGAAAUGUGGGUAAUGCUAAGCUGAGACCUAAAUGUACCUCAUAAAUAGGCAGGUUUCAUAUUUCAUGCUUAGAAACAUAAAAUAAAUUUUCCCGAUGUGUUACGUUCAUUUAAAUUUUCACAGUGUUUAGCUGUAAAGAAAGAAACAUAAUGCCUUUUAUAUCAUCAGAAUCAUUAUUGUAUUUCUUUAGUGGCAUUUCUUCACCUAGAAUGUUAUCAAGUUGACAUUAAAUCAGAAAGAAAACUAUGUUCCUAAGGAGAGAGUGCUCUUGCUAAUCCAUUUCAGUUAAACAAAUGAUUAUACCACAUUUUAAGUGAUAUGGCGAAAAUGGGAGUAUUAGGGCCCCUCUUUUCAGGUCUUCUAUUUGCUAAUCAUUUUUAUAAAGUAUUCAGUUUAAUAUAGUAUACUAAUAAUGAAAAAGUUUGAAACAUUGCAAUAAUUACCAAAAUGCGAUGCAGAGACAUAUAGUGAGCAUAUGCUGUUGGAAAAACGGCACAGACGAAGUUGCUCAACACAGGGUUUCCACAAACUUUCAACUGUAAAAACACAACUUCAGCAAAGCACAAUGAAGUGAAGUGCAUAAAACAACUUAUACCUGUAUUUCGGGCCACACUAUAAGGCAGGUUGUAGAGACUAAAACCUUUAAGUAGCCGAGGCCUUCUCUCGAGCCCAUGGCAGGGAAAGGUUAAGCAGUAUAUUCCACAGCUCAUAUUCUUUCUGUUACACCCUGGUCCCUCUUUCUGUUCCUGGGGUAUGUACAUGUGAUUGGGGGUGAUAGCAGUGGUGGUAUUAUUGAUGAUUUAUUUCUGUAAUGUUCUAAUAAUUUUGAAAAUGCUUCUGGGAAAAUACGUAGGAUGAGAAAAUUACAUACAGACUCAUGGCCCAGGCAGGUUUCUUUCUAAUCAACUCACUUUUCCCACUUCCCCGCCAUAACCCCUGACAAAUUCUUCCCCAGAAAAUCCUUUUGGUGAUCUUUUUAACCAUCUUCCACAAGAAGAAAAAUAAUUUUAAAGCAAAACAUGCAUACGAAAGUCAAUUAUUAUGAUUUUUUUUCUGUAUUCUAGAGUAGAAUAUAAAUGUGUCAUGGUUCUAUUUUCAGAGAGCUGAUGUAUUACAUCAGUUUAAGUAAUACAUGAUAUACAAUAUAAAUUUUAAAAUCUCCCACAUAAUUCAUUAGAUAUGUGUAUUGGUUUCUACAGAUAAAUAUCAUUCUAAGACGUUAAAUGAGAAUCAAAUGUUUAAAUUAUAUAUCAACAUACUAUUGAGGUGGCAGUAGAAAUGACAGUGUAGUAACAGCCCCCUUUCCAAAUGGUAUUUCAAACUGUUACAAUGUGGAAAUGUUAAAAGGAGAGGUCAUGAAGUAUGACUUGUGAAGAAUAUGUGAAUCUAGGACAAAAAUCUUUAAACCCAAGAGAGCAGAGGUAUAAAUAGUUGAAUUUGACCUUAGAUUGUUGAAAUAUUUUCAUAAAACCACUGCAAGAUGCACUUUUUAAAAUGUAAAUUCAUACUCUGACAUUUGCAACCUGUACACAGAGCUUCUAAUAAGCAAAUAAGGUCACUUGGAUGAUUUACUGGAGUGGGAUUGCUGAAGGCAGAGAUGUUGCUAUGAGUUGCUUGGUUUACAGAAGGCUUUGAAGUGUGGUUAUGUAACACUGUGUUUAUGCUUUAUGCUUUAUGUAACAAAUAAGAACAAAGGACUUAAUUUAGGAUUAGCUGACUGCCACAUUCUAUCCUGAUUAUAUAUGUAAAGGUUAAUUUCUGGUCUAACUAAAUAGAACACCUCAACUUUCUAGUUUUCCAGGUUAUAAAUACUUUGGUAAAAAAGCAGGUUCAAAGUUUUCACCAGAAGUUCUGCAUGGUGACUUUGAACAGAUACAAGCCUGUUUCUUUUUCCUUUACGUUAUGCUGCAGUGUAUUGAUGAUGAGCUUUAUGAGAGCUGAGACAGAUGAUCGUACUAACAAUUCUAUAUUUAAUAUAAGUCCUCCUCUUUUAAAAUAGCUUCAUAAUGGGUGUAUGCUCAUUGCUUAGGUUCACUUUCUUUAGUUUUGAAAUGACUAAUACUUUUAAACAUAGAGGUCUUUUGAUCAUUUUUUCCUUGCUAAACACCAGCAAUCCCUAUGAUUUAAUGAUAAUGACAGAUCAGUACCAUCCCCUCCCUUGGUCAUAAAAAACCUAUGAUUUAGCUUCAUUUGUCUACCCAGGAAUUAGAGAUUAAUCACCAAGUAAGAAAAAUAUUUUGCAUGAUUAAAAUAUUGCAACUGCUAUAACACUUUUAGAUUACCUUAAUAUAUAUUCAUAAGAUUAUACACAGUAAUGAAUAAUGAGUAAGCCCUUACUGCACACAAAUGUAUUUGGUUUUAAGUUUUCUUUUUCUUGAAGGGGGAGCAGGGUCCUGUUGUUUUGUAUAGCCAUCAUAGUGCUGUCAAAUAUUUAACAGCAUUUCUGUUUUUUUGUUUCAUAGUUCAGUUGUGCAAUGUUGGUCUCUUCACUUCAGAAAGUCAUCUAACAAUAGCUCAGCCAAAAUAUCUGUCUUCUGUUUUUUGCCCUUCUGGAGGAAAAAUAAGUCAGAAAUAUCAUUAUAACCUUUAAAGACAGUGCACAAUCACCUAGUAAUAGUAUGCUUCAUUGGGUUUGGGGGCAACAUUUGUGUGCAGGGUGAUCAUUUUCACCGAUUUGUAAAAAGGAGAUACUAUUAUGUGUUAAUAGACUUCAAGACACAGUAUCACUCAUAUAUCAACAAUGAUAUGUUUACUUAGACUGCAUUUGGUACCUGUAAACAGAUAGCUAAAUCUUUGAUGGGAGGAUGGAUAGAGGGUUGAUGAACUGAUAGACUGACAGAUGGAAGGAUAGAUGGAUAAAUAUGGAGUAUGUAGCUACCUAGUGGUAAAAUAACUCCUGAAGGGUUUAAAAUUAUGUAAUUAUAAAACACAAAUAGUACUAAAAUGAGUUGCUUCUCCCUUAAAGCAGUAAUUUAAAUGGUAUGAACAAAUUGAUAAGAUAUUAUCUAAAAAAUAUACCAUAAUUUUAUAGAAUUCACAAUUAAUAUAUUAUUAUCCUAUGAUGUGUUUGCUGAAGAUGUUCAUAAUAAGAUCUACCACCUAUGAUAAAGGCAACAUAUGUCAUGCACUCUGAAAGCGCUUUACAGUCAUUACCACAUUAGCCAACCAUUUAUUUUCCUAGACUACAAAUAUGGAAGAAGGCAACCUACAGGCAAACCUUGUAUAUAGUGCAGGUUUGGUUCCAUACACUGCAGUAAAGCAAAUAUUGCAAUAAAGCAAGUCACACAAAUGUUUUGGUUCAUACAUAUAAAAGUUAUGUUUAUAAUAUACUGUAGUCUAAUAAGUGUGCAACAGCAUUAUGUCUAAAAACAAUGUACAUGCCUUCAUUUAAAAAUACUGUGUUGCUUAAAGAUGCUAAUGGCCAUCUGAGCCUUCUGCGAGUCAUAAUCUUUUACUAGUCGAGGCUCUUGCCUUGAUGUUAAUGGCUCCUGACUGAUCAGGGUGAGGUUUCUAAAGGUUGUGGUGGCUAAGGCAAUAGUGAAGUUUGUCACGUGGAUUGACUCUUCGUUUUAGGAAAGAUUUCUCUGUAAUGUGAUGCUGUUUGGUAACAUUUUACUCACAGUAGAUCUCUUUCAAAAUUAGAGUGAAUCCUCCCUAACCCUACCACUUAGUUUGAUAAAGAUUACCUAGGUUUAUAUUAUAUUCUAAAUCAUUUGUUGCCAUCUCUAGCAUCUUCACCAGUAAUAGAUUCCAACUCAAGAAACCAUGUUAUUUGCUUAUCUGUAAGAAAUAACUCCUCAUCCAUUAAGGUUUUAUCAUGAGACUGCAUCAAUUCAGUCACAUUUUUAGGUUUCACUUUUAAUUCUAGCUCUCUUGCUAUUUCUGCUGCAUCUGCAGUUAGUUCCUCCACCAAAGUCUUGAAUUCCUCAAAGUCAUCUAUGAGAGUUGCAGUCAAUUUCUUCCAAACUCGUAUUGUGUUGAUAUUUUAACCUCCUCCUAUUCAUCACAAACAUUCUUAAUGGCAACUAGAAUGGUGAAUCCUUUCCAGAAGAUUUCAAUUUUCUUUGCCCAGAUCCAUUAGAGGAAUCACUACUUAUGACAGCUAUAGCCUCACAAAAUUUAUUUAUUAAAUGUUAAGAGUCGAAGGUUGAAAUUGCUUCUUGAUCCAUGGGAUGCAGACUGGAUGUUGUAUUAGGUGGCUUGAAAACAAUGUUAAUUUCCUUGUUCAUCUCAGUCAGAGCUCUUGGGUGACCAGAUGCUCUCAUCAAUGAGGUAAUAUUUGAAAGGAAUCUUUUUUUUUUUUUUUUUUUUUGAAUAGGUCUCAAGCUUGGGCUUAUAGGCUUUGUUGUUCAUUUGCUGUCUUCAAGGCUUUGUGGUUCCAUUUAUAGAGCACAAGCAGAGUAGAUUUUAGCAUAAUUCAUAAGGGCCUAGGUUUUUGGAAAUGGUAAAUGAGCAUUGACUUCCACUCAAAGGCACCAGCUGUAUUAACUCAUAACAAGAGAGUCAUCCUUAUCUUUGGAGCUUUGAAACCAGACACUGUCUUCUCAAUAGUUAUGAAAGUCCCAGAUAGCAUCUUCCAAUGGAAACCUGUUUCAUCUAAAUUGAAAAUCCACCACGAAAAGCUUCAUAUAAGCAGUAGGGCUGAUGUUUACUUUCUUAUCACUCAUGUGUUGUAGAGUAGCAGUUCUUAUUUCUUUGAGGAACUUCUUUUCCUUUGCGUUCACAACUUGACUAACUCGUUGGCAUAAGGGACGUAGCCUUUGUCCUGUCUCAACUUCGAACACGCCUUCCUCAUUAAGCUUAGUAAUUUCUAGUUUUUGAUUUGAAAUGAGAGACAUGCCACUCCUCUCUUCACUUGAACUCCUAGAGACUAUUGUAGGGUUAUUAAUUGGACUAAAUUCACUAUGGUCUUAGACAAUAGGGAGACCCAAGAAAAGGGGAAGAGUCAGGGGAACAGCCAGCAGGUGGAACAGCCAACACACACAUUUAUUAAUUCUGCGGUUUUAUAUGUGCAUGAUUUGUGGUCCCCUGAAACAAUUACAGUAGUAACCACAAAGAUCACUGGUCACAAAUCAUCAUAAUAGACAUAAUGAUAAUGUAAAAAUAAUAUUAUAUUAAUAUAUAAUAAUACUGUAAUGAAAAAGUUUGAAAUAAUGCAAGGACUACCAAAAUGUGACACAGAGACACAAAGCAAGCACAUGCUGUCGGAAAAUGGUGCGAAUACACUGGUUGGAUGCAGGGUUGCCACAAAUCUCCGAUUUGUAAAAAUGUAUAUUUGUGAAGUGCAACAAAGUGGAAUAAAACGAGCUGUGUUGGUGCAGUAGUAUCAUUGGCCUGAAAGGUUUCACAGUGAGCCUUUCCUUUUAAAGUUGGGCUGUACUUAAUUUAUCAGAAAUGUAUGGUUUCUUCUAUUUAAAA